AGUGAACGCUGGCGGUAGGCCUAACACAUGCAAGUCGAACGGCAGCACAGAGGAGCUUGCUCCUUGGGUGGCGAGUGGCGGACGGGUGAGGAAUACAUCGGAAUCUACUCUGUCGUGGGGGAUAACGUAGGGAAACUUACGCUAAUACCGCAUACGACCUACGGGUGAAAGCAGGGGACCUUCGGGUCUUGCGCGAUUGAAUGAGCCGAUGUCGGAUUAGCUAGUUGGCGGGGUAAAGGCCCACCAAGGCGACGAUCCGUAACUGGUCUGAGAGGAUAAUCAGCCACACUGAAACUGAGACACGGUCCAGGCUCCUACGGGAGGCAGCAGUGGGGAAUAUUGGACAAUGGGCGCAAGCCUGAUCCAGCCAUACCGCGUGGGUGAAGAAGGCCUUCGGGUUGUAAAGCCCUUUUGUUGGGAAAGAAAUCCAGCUGGCUAAUACCCGGUUGGGAUGACGGUACCCAAAGAAUAAGCACCGGCUAACUACGUGCCAGCCGCCGCAGUAA
Molecule: ribosomal RNA, 506 nt
Filed under: uncultured bacterium
Lineage: Bacteria
Description: partial 16S ribosomal RNA
Rfam family: Bacterial small subunit ribosomal RNA
Source: RNAcentral